RNAcentral lists this ribosomal RNA (468 nucleotides) under uncultured bacterium. RNAcentral's name for it is "partial 16S ribosomal RNA". The stretch from base 58 to 468 matches the Rfam family "Bacterial small subunit ribosomal RNA", at positions 39 to 507 of the family's 1533-position model. The record is from RNAcentral.
GGGGGGGGGGGGGGGGGGGGGUGGGGGGUGGGGGGCGGAGGGGAGGGCCGGGGUUGGGUGGGGUGCGCGAGUGGCGAACGGGUGAGUCGCACGUGAGUCAGCUGCCCUUGACGUUGGGACCACGUCAGGAACCGGGGGCUAAUACCGGGUAGGAGCUCCUGCUGCAUGGUGGGGGUUGGAAAGUUUAGGCGGUUGGGGAGGGACUCGCGGCUUAUCAGCUUGUUGGUGGGGUAGUGGCUUACCAAGGCUUUGACGGGUGGCAGGCCUGAGAGGGUGACCGGCCACAUUGGGACUGAGAUACGGCCCAGACUCCUACGGGAGGCAGCAGUGGGGAAUAUUGCACAAUGGGCGGAAGCCUGAUGCAGCAACGCCGCGUGCGGGAUGACGGCCUUCGGGUUGUAAACCGCUUUCGCCUGUGACGAAGCGUGAGUGACGGUAAUGGGUAAAGAAGCACCGGCUAACUACGUG